GAAAAAGUUAAAAUCAUACUGACUGGUAGCUUCUACAGACACAUUUUUCUCACUUUACCUCAGAGCUUUGAAAAAUGUAUACAUUAUUGCUAAAAAUACAUUUCCCUAUGGAGAAAAUAAAUGGAAUUUGUACUCAUUGGAACGCCACUACUGUGCUUUAUUGUUGAUUCCCGGGUAACUGAAGUUUUAAGCUGUCCAUCACACCAGCCUGGAAGUGCUUUUCUUUCCUCGUGCUCAUCAGAGUCCUCGAACAUACUUUCAUCCUGGAUCAGGUGACCUCAGGUUUAUGGAGAGUGGAGCCAGCAGGAUGGAUGCGGUUUAUCCAGGGCAUGCAGCACUUGUCGCCUGGGGAAGCAUAAUGUUAUGCCAACGUUUGAACAUUUGGGAGAAGCUGAUGGUGGAGUUAAUUGAUUUCAAAGCUGUGAAAAGAUGCUGGUUUAACAGCCUUCCUCGUUGAUCUUGAUAACAGUGUGGGCCAAUACCUAACGAGGUGCUGCAUUAAUUGUCACCCUCUGCUGAUGGCGUUCAUUUGGUGUUUAACUGAGAGAUUGAUGUAUUGAUUGAAUGAGCGGAGCAGCCUGGGAAUGGAGCUGAGUUGGUGUUCUCAGUCUCAGCUCUGAUGGACUUCAGUGAUGAGAGUGUCUCCAAUGCUGACACUGAGGCUGCUGGGACUGUCAACUUGCACGAGGGAGGUCUGUUCCGAAUCUGACUGCUAAUAAAGCUCUCUCAUUCAAGAAGUCAUCGGCUGUCUUUGGAAUUCUUGGCUGCUUUUCUCAUGAGCAAGGCUGUGCUCCUCUUUUCUGCCAGGGCUGGGGGGGAGGCGUUGGACGAAGUGGGGGAGAGUUGUAAACCGUGAGCAAUAGGGGGUCGGUCUCCCCAAUAGAUGUCACGGAUUUUAACGAGCAGUUUCAGCCCAUCUCAAAAGACACGGAGCACAGCGGGGUGAACAAAGAUGGUCUUUGUCUGGGUGAGAUGUGUGUGUGUGUGUGCGUACACUUAAGGGAAAGUGGAGGGGUGUGUGUUCCACUACAGUUGCCUUCCAGGGGCUCCUAACAGUGGGGUAUCUUGGAUUUUGGGAACAAAAAGGGUCACGAUAACACAUAAGGUUCAAGAUUUGUGCUGAAUUUGUUACUUACUUUGCACCCUGUAGGCCAUAUCUGGAUGCCUGCAUCUGAAGGCUUUCAUGCAUGUUCUCAGCCAAUCAGCUGCAUAAUGUCAUAGGUGCUGCUUAUCCAUGGUUAUUACUGGGUAAAAACGAUCUAAUUCUCAUAAGGU
Cyprinus carpio carpio is the source of this 1275-nucleotide long non-coding RNA. Lineage: Eukaryota; Metazoa; Chordata; Actinopteri; Cypriniformes; Cyprinidae. The record is from Ensembl.